This 361-nucleotide long non-coding RNA is filed under the name Helianthus annuus (common sunflower). RNAcentral describes it as "hypothetical non coding rna". The record is from RNAcentral. Lineage: Eukaryota; Viridiplantae; Streptophyta; Magnoliopsida; Asterales; Asteraceae.
CCCACACAAAGAAGCGGGAUGGAUUGGCUUGUCGCUGGAUAUUUGGGGACGCCACACGAGGGUCGAAAACUAACCACGUGACAAUCAGCCAUGUAAAAAGCUAGCUAAUGGUUGAAUAUUAAUGGCACUAAUAUGUAUACCUAGGCAUACUAUUUUUUGAUGAGUGCGUCUGCAAAAGAGCAUAAUAACUAAAUGAUUCUCAGUUAUUGACAUAACAAAAUCAUGCGCCCAUAACCGAGACCGACAUCUAAUGUAAUGUCACGCAACACGCUUUUGAUUUUUUUGGCAGUUGUAUGAUAGGCUUAUGGUAUUUGUAGGGUACAUGGCUGCAAAUGUGACCAAAACCAAGUUUUAUAACUGA